This 492-nucleotide ribosomal RNA is filed under the name uncultured bacterium. RNAcentral describes it as "partial 16S ribosomal RNA". It matches the Rfam family "Bacterial small subunit ribosomal RNA", at positions 29 to 507 of the family's 1533-position model. The record is from RNAcentral.
AGUGAACGCUGGCGGUAGGCCUAACACAUGCAAGUCGAACGGCAGCACAGUAAGAGCUUGCUCUUACGGGUGGCGAGUGGCGGACGGGUGAGGAAUACAUCGGAAUCUACUUUUUCGGGGGGGAUAACGUAGGGAAACUUACGCUAAUACCGCAUACGACCUACGGGUGAAAGCAGGGGAUCUUCGGACCUUGCGCGAUUGAAUGAGCCGAUGUCGGAUUAGCUAGUUGGCGGGGUAAAGGCCCACCAAGGCGACGAUCCGUAGCUGGUCUGAGAGGAUGAUCAGCCACACUGGAACUGAGACACGGUCCAGACUCCUACGGGAGGCAGCAGUGGGGAAUAUUGGACAAUGGGCGCAAGCCUGAUCCAGCCAUGCCGCGUGGGUGAAGAAGGCCUUCGGGUUGUAAAGCCCUUUUGUUGGGAAAGAAAAGCAGCAGAUUAAUACCCCGCUGUUCUGACGGUACCCAAAGAAUAAGCACCGGCUAACUUCGUG